RNAcentral lists this ribosomal RNA (253 nucleotides) under uncultured prokaryote. Its description in RNAcentral is "partial 16S ribosomal RNA". It matches the Rfam family "Bacterial small subunit ribosomal RNA", at positions 524 to 776 of the family's 1533-position model. The record is from RNAcentral.
UACAGAGGGGGCAAGCGUUGUUCGGAAUUACUGGGCGUAAAGGGCGCGUAGGCGGCCCGCUAAGUCGAACGUGAAAUCCCCGGGCUCAACCCGGGAACUGCGUCCGAUACUGGCAGGCUUGAAUCCGGGAGAGGGAUGCGGAAUUCCAGGUGUAGCGGUGAAAUGCGUAGAUAUCGAGAGGAACACCUGCGGCGAAGGCGGGUUGCUGGGCUGACACUGACGCUGAUGCGCGAAAGCUAGGGGAGCGAACGGG